UACUCGAGCGGCGAACGGGUGAGUAACACGUGAGCAACCUGCCCCAGGCUUUGGGAUAACCCCGGGAAACCGGGGCUAAUACCGAAUAUGACCUUGCAUCGCAUGGUGGGUGGUGGAAAGUUUUUCGGCUUGGGAUGGGCUCGCGGCCUAUCAGCUUGUUGGUGGGGUGAUGGCCUACCAAGGCGACGACGGGUAGCCGGCCUGAGAGGGCGACCGGCCACACUGGGACUGAGACACGGCCCAGACUCCUACGGGAGGCAGCAGUGGGGAAUAUUGCACAAUGGGCGGAAGCCUGAUGCAGCGACGCCGCGUGAGGGAUGACGGCCUUCGGGUUGUAAACCUCUUUCAGCAGGGACGAAGCGUAAGUGACGGUACCUGCAGAAGAAAGAAGCGCCGGCCAACUACGUGCCAGCAGCCGCGGUAAGACGUAGGGCGCGAGCGUUGUCCGGAUUUAUUGGGCGUAAAGAGCUCGUAGGCGGCUUGUCGCGUCGACCGUGAAAACCUGGGGCUCAACCCCAGG
Molecule: ribosomal RNA, 520 nt
Filed under: uncultured Micromonospora sp.
Lineage: Bacteria; Bacillati; Actinomycetota; Actinomycetes; Micromonosporales; Micromonosporaceae
Description: bacterial SSU rRNA
Rfam family: Bacterial small subunit ribosomal RNA
Source: RNAcentral